RNAcentral lists this ribosomal RNA (432 nucleotides) under Triticum aestivum (bread wheat). Its description in RNAcentral is "partial small subunit ribosomal RNA". The record is from RNAcentral. Lineage: Eukaryota; Viridiplantae; Streptophyta; Magnoliopsida; Poales; Poaceae.
AUGCCUCAGCAGCAGCAGCUAGUUGACCAGGAGAUCCAAGCUGGUGACUUUUUGGAGCUGAAUGAUUUGCUUGAACCACUAGAGGAGGAAGUGCCCAUUCCUUUAUUUGCAGAUGGCAGUGAUUUGACUUUAUCUCUUGGUCUGAAUAUUGGAGUGCCCCCUGGGGAAGCUCACCCUGACAGCUCUGUAUUUGGAGGCCCUCCCCCUCAGAAUCUUGAAGAACUUCUAGCUUCUCUGGUCAUCCUAGAUCAACACCCAGAAUUUCAGGCAAAUUUCGACCUUAACUUGCCAAUUCCAGAGCUAGCUGGAGUUGCAGAGGCUCAUGUUCUGGAGCAGACUGCUCUGCAGCCCCACAAUGACAACUUGUUGCAUGAUUGCAACAACUUGUUGCAGUUCAACAGGAAGAUGCCAUUACAGAUAUGCUGCAAGUAG